This 499-nucleotide ribosomal RNA is filed under the name uncultured bacterium. Its description in RNAcentral is "partial 16S ribosomal RNA". It matches the Rfam family "Bacterial small subunit ribosomal RNA", at positions 28 to 507 of the family's 1533-position model. The record is from RNAcentral.
GAUGAACGCUGGCGGCGUGCCUAAUACAUGCCAGUCGAGCGAACAGACGAGAGUUCUUGCGCUCUCUGACGUUAGCGGCGGACGGGUGAGUCACACGUGGGUAACCUACCUAUAAGACUGGGAUAACUUCGGGAAACCGGAGCUCAUACCGGAUAAUAUUUAGCUUCGCAUGAAGCAAUAGUGAAAGACGGUUCUGCUGUCACUUAUAGAUGGACCCGCGGUGUAUUAGCUAGUUGGUGAGGUAACGGCUCACCAAGGCAACGAUACAUAGCCGACCUGAGAGGGUGAUAGGCCACCCGGGGACUGGGACACGGCCCAGACUCCUACGGGAGGCAGCAGUAGGGAAUCUUCCGCAAUGGACGAAAGUCUGACGGAGCAAUGCCGCGUGAGUGAAGAAGGUGUUCGGAUCGUAAAACUCUGUUGUGAGGGAAGAACAAGUACGUUAGUAACUGAACGUAGCUUGACGGUACCGGAUCAGAAAGCCACGGCUAACUACGUG